This 483-nucleotide ribosomal RNA is filed under the name uncultured bacterium. RNAcentral's name for it is "partial 16S ribosomal RNA". It matches the Rfam family "Bacterial small subunit ribosomal RNA", at positions 28 to 523 of the family's 1533-position model. The record is from RNAcentral.
GAUGAACGCUGCGGCAUGCUUAACACAUGCAAGUCGAACGGUGAAGCAGGAGCUUGCUCUUGUGGAUCAGUGGCGAACGGGUGAGUAACACGUGAGCAACCUGCCCCUGACUCUGGGAUAAGCGCUGGAAACGGCGUCUAAUACUGCAUAUGUGAUGUGACCGCAUGGUCUGCAUCUGGAAUGCAUUUCGGUUGGGGAUGGGCUCGCGGCCUAUCAGCUUGUUGGUGAGGUAAUGGCUCACCAAGGCGUCGACGGGUAGCCGGCCUGAGAGGGUGACCGGCCACACUGGGACUGAGACACGGCCCAGACGCCCACGGGAGGCAGCAGUGGGGAAUAUUGCACAAUGGGCGGAAGCCUGAUGCAGCAACGCCGCGUGAGGGAUGACGGCCUUCGGGUUGUAAACCUCUUUUAGCAGGGAAGAAGCGAAAGUGACGGUACCUGCAGAAAAAGCACCGGCUAACUACGUGCCAGCCGCCGCCGUAA